GUGGGAGGGGGCUUGCUCCCGAUAGCGGUGGGUCAGUCAGCUUAUCUUUAGCUGACCCACCGCUAUCGGGAGCAAGCCCCCUCCCAC
RNAcentral lists this unclassified non-coding RNA (87 nucleotides) under Pseudomonas synxantha. The record is from RNAcentral. Lineage: Bacteria; Pseudomonadati; Pseudomonadota; Gammaproteobacteria; Pseudomonadales; Pseudomonadaceae.